AUGAGUGUGGAGCAUACCAGAUGGAAGAGAUCGAGAAAGGAAAAAUGUAUAUUACAAUUCAUACCGAGGAAGAGCUGCGGGAGAAGUGGUGAGGAAUUUGAUUGUGAAUGUGGCCAGUUCGCACACAUGCGGAUGCUCUACAGCCAUGUCUUGAAGGCUCUGGACUUUAUUCUUAUUAAGGAAAUACCUUGGAAGCACAUAGUGAAAAUAUGGACUAGAGAUGCCAGAGACAUCCUACCCCCUCAUCUGACACAAUAUCAGAAGGACAAUGCUCACAAAAAUUCAUCUAGUUAUAGGCAUUUCAAUAUGUAG
Molecule: ribosomal RNA, 312 nt
Filed under: Triticum aestivum (bread wheat)
Lineage: Eukaryota; Viridiplantae; Streptophyta; Magnoliopsida; Poales; Poaceae
Description: partial small subunit ribosomal RNA
Source: RNAcentral